UUUACAUGAACGAGAAGGGAUAACAUGGCGUCUGUACUAUUUUUUUACAUUUUAGAUCCAAUUUGUCUUCUUUUCUAUGAACAAAGGCUCAGUUUACUUUAGGAGUGCUAUUUAUAUCCUGUCGACUACUCAUCAUUCAUUCAUCCAUACUGUGUCCCCCCCAUGAUUGCAGAUGUAUGGUGACUCCACGUUGGAAUGAACGGACCAAUGGGACUGCCAUGGGCAAUUCCCUUGACGGGUACCAGGAAUGGUGGAAAGACGAUCUGAAGGUCCCUGAAACUCCACGUGAUGUGGAAGUUGUCGAACCAGAUCAGAACGCCUUCGAAGAUCACCUUCAGACACGGACUGAGAAGGAUGUGGAUGUUUUUGACCAGGUGAGACUGAACAUGGGCAGGGUGCAUGAGAAGGAGAGCCACCUGAGAAGAAUCAAGGGGACCAAGUGCUUCGACAUCUGGGUGAAUGACUUUGCGUAGAAGAAGGACGAAAGGAAGGCGAGACCCGGGAAAGCUUGGUGCUCUUUCGCUACUAGCUGGGGUCAACAUCUGUUAAGAAGAAUAUAAAAAUCUCAGAUAACUAUUUGCAUUUGCUGCCUCGUGGUGGGCGGCAUCGCCAUGCUGACGGCAGUACCAAUGCUGGCCCAGGGGUUUCUCCAAAUAGUCAAUCUCAAGGCUAACCACUGGGUCACGUUAAGUAACCGCCACUUCCAGAGGACCUGAGCCCUAGGACCAUGCCUCAAGACUACCUGGCCUGAUGACUCCUUGCUGUCCCCUGUCCACCUGGUCGUACUGCUGCUCCAGUUCCAACUGUUCUGCCUGCGGCUAUGGAACCCUGACCUGUUCACCGGACAUGCUACCUGUCCCAGACCUUCUGUUUUCAACUCUCUAGAGACAGCAGGAGCGGUAGAGAUACUCUGAAUGAGCGGCUAUGAAAAGCCAACUGUCAUUUACUCCUGAGGUGCUGACGUGUUGCACCCUCGACAACCACUGUGAUUAUUAUUAUUUGACCCUGCUGGUCAUCAAUGAACAUUUGAACAUCUUGGCCAUGUUCUGUUAUAAUCUCCACCCG
RNAcentral lists this long non-coding RNA (1065 nucleotides) under Salmo salar (Atlantic salmon). RNAcentral's name for it is "lncRNA (ENSSSAG00000083709.1)". Lineage: Eukaryota; Metazoa; Chordata; Actinopteri; Salmoniformes; Salmonidae. The record is from RNAcentral.